GCUGGGCAUGCUGGAGUGUGCCUGCAGUCCCAGACACUUGGGAAGCUGAGGCAGGAGGAUCGCUUGAGCCCAGGAGUUCUGGGCUAUAGUGCACUAUGCCAAUCAGGUGUCCACACUAAGUUUGGCAUCAAUAUGGUGACCUUCUAGAGUGGGAGACCACCAGGUUGGAAAUGGAGCAUGUCAAAAACUCCCAUGCUGAUCAGCAGUGGGAUCACUCUGCACUCCAGCCUGGGCAACACAGCAAGACCCUGUCUCUA
Unclassified non-coding RNA from Callithrix jacchus (white-tufted-ear marmoset), 257 nucleotides. It matches the Rfam family "Metazoan signal recognition particle RNA". From Rfam's summary of the family: The signal recognition particle (SRP) is a universally conserved ribonucleoprotein. It is involved in the co-translational targeting of proteins to membranes. NCBI's taxonomy places the organism in Eukaryota, Metazoa, Chordata, Mammalia, Primates, Cebidae. The record is from Ensembl.